Molecule: long non-coding RNA, 1021 nt
Organism: Ictalurus punctatus (channel catfish)
Lineage: Eukaryota; Metazoa; Chordata; Actinopteri; Siluriformes; Ictaluridae
Source: Ensembl
UUUGUUUUUCUUUUUGCAGGGAUAUUGCGAUAAUUACUAAGGCGAUCACUUUCAAAGCACAACCCUCUUACCUAAAUUAAUGAUGGAAAAUACAUUUUUAACUUAAAAAAAUUUAAGUAACUCACUAGCAAUAGCUAAUUCUAUGACAGAAACCCAACCCUGUUACUUUCAAUUCCAUUACUCACUUAAAAGCAAAAUGCAAACAUUCUCAGGAAAGUAACCUUUUAACAGUUAAAUGCAUGUUUACUUAGAUUAAUUAAAUUAUUUUUAAAAGUUGUAAAUGGCACCCAAUUGUGGAGUCAAUCUACUGAAAUGGGCUACAACAUGGCCUAUAUAUAUAGCAGCUGAGUCUAAAAUAGUGAAGACAAUUAUGCCCGUUUCCAAGUUGUAACACUACAAAAUAUGUUCAAGGGGGUUAAUGCUUAAGCAAAGCACUACAGCUUCUCUGAAAUCUGUGUGUGAUACUUGCCAGUUUUUUCCUACUGAUAUUAAUGGUUCCAGUGUUAAGUGCUUACUUUAAAACUUUUGCUGCAUCAUCCUUCCACAUAUCCUUCCCCUCUAUUCCUGAUUCAGAAGCAGAGCUGGCUUUUUGGCGUGGUGCCAGUGUGUAAUCCUGGAGUUCAGCCACAUGUCUAUAACACUACAUUCUCUUUUUCCUUCGGUUCUCCUAUCGGACACAUCAUGAACACUCCUGUGGUCACACCACAAUCUCAUUUAGCAAACACAGCUCUGUUUCUGGAAUCACUCCCUGACCUUUCACUUAGUAACACCAAGCUGCCAAUUUCAAAGAUGCCAUCAUCUCUGAUUAAAUGUUUGUGUAAGGGCAAGAGCAUGCACGCAGUUGAGUAUUUAUAGAUUUCAUACUACUACUGGGAAUUUGUUCUUUGGUCUGAUGCAGGGGUCUAUAAAGUGAUGGUUGGUUACGAGGUUUUUUGGGGGUUUUUUUUUUGCUCUGAAUGAAAAGGUGGAUGCGCACUUCCAGAUGACACAGUAUGGGUGAUUGAUUACACCUUCCUCUAAG